AUUGAACGCUGGCGGCAGGCCUAACACAUGCAAGUCGAGCGGAUGAAGGGAGCUUGCUCCUGGAUUCAGCGGCGGACGGGUGAGUAAUGCCUAGGAAUCUGCCUGGUAGUGGGGAUAAAGGUCGGAAAAGGGCCCCAAUACCCGAUACGGCCCGGGGGGGGAAGGGGGGGGUCCUCGGAACUCAACCUUUUCGGAUGACCCAGGUCGGAUUAGCUAGUUGGUGGGGUAAAGGCCUACCAAGGCGACGAUCCGUAACUGGUCUGAGAGGAUGAUCAGUCACACUGGAACUGAGACACGGUCCAGACUCCUACGGGAGGCAGCAGUGGGGAAUAUUGGACAAUGGGCGAAAGCCUGAUCCAGCCAUGCCGCGUGUGUGAAGAAGGUCUUCGGAUUGUAAAGCACUUUAAGUUGGGAGGAAGGGCAGUAAGUUAAUACCUUGCUGUUUUGACGUUACCAACAGAAUAAGCACCGGCUAACUUCGUG
RNAcentral lists this ribosomal RNA (483 nucleotides) under uncultured bacterium. Its description in RNAcentral is "partial 16S ribosomal RNA". It matches the Rfam family "Bacterial small subunit ribosomal RNA", at positions 30 to 507 of the family's 1533-position model. The record is from RNAcentral.